GGACCGGUAGUUCAGCUGGUUAGAAUGCCGCCCUGUCACGGCGGAGGUCGCGGGUUCGAGUCCCGUCCGGUCCGCAA
This 77-nucleotide transfer RNA is filed under the name Flavobacterium sp. RNAcentral's name for it is "tRNA-Asp". It matches the Rfam family "tRNA". Rfam says of the family: Transfer RNA (tRNA) molecules are approximately 80 nucleotides in length. Their secondary structure includes four short double-helical elements and three loops (D, anti-codon, and T loops). The record is from RNAcentral. Lineage: Bacteria; Pseudomonadati; Bacteroidota; Flavobacteriia; Flavobacteriales; Flavobacteriaceae. RNAcentral also lists the same sequence under 25 other names.